Molecule: non-coding RNA, 135 nt
Organism: Brachypodium distachyon (stiff brome)
Lineage: Eukaryota; Viridiplantae; Streptophyta; Magnoliopsida; Poales; Poaceae
Source: Rfam
CUUAUACUCCCUCCGUCUAACGAAAGAUGUCUCAAAUUUGUCAAAAUUUGUAUUAUCUAAAUCUGAUUUAGUAUAUAGAUGCAUUCAAAUUUAGUCAAAGUUGAGACAUCUUUUGUUGGACGGAGGAAAUAACUU